Molecule: unclassified non-coding RNA, 307 nt
Filed under: fungal sp.
Lineage: Eukaryota; Fungi
Description: partial internal transcribed spacer region
Rfam family: Eukaryotic small subunit ribosomal RNA (bases 1-46)
Source: RNAcentral
AAGUCGUAACAAGGUUUCCGUAGGUGAACCUGCGGAAGGAUCAUUAACACUAAUUAAAAAUACGAAGCUUUUUUUUGCAAAAAAAAAACUGCUUCUUAUCCAAACUUACCCAAAACUAUUUGAAAGUGCUGGUUGAUUUUAUUUGAUAUCGUUGUAUUUUUACAAUUAUAUCAAAGGAAUCACUUUUUCACUUAUUUUUUUUUUCAACAACCCCAAAUCUUUUUUUGCUAAUGCAAAUGACAAUUACUAAACAAAUAACUACUUUAACGUAACCAAACAACUCUUAGCAACGGAUAUCUUGGCUCUC